GUUGUAUGGUUAAGUGACUAAGCGUACACGGUGGAUGCCUUGGCAGUCAGAGGCGAUGAAAGACGUAGUAACUUGCGAUAAGCCCAGAUUAGGUAGUAACAACCAUUUGAGUCUGGGAUUUCUGAAUGGGGAAACCCACGUGCAUAAGCACGUAUCCUUACCUGAAUACAUAGGGUAAGGAGGCGAACCGGGGGAACUGAAACAUCUAAGUACCCCGAGGAAAAGAAAUCAACCGAGAUUCCGAAAGUAGCGGCGAGCGAAAUUGGACUAGCCCUUAAGCUUUACACGCGUUAGACGAACGGUCUGGAAAGUCCGACGAUACAGGGUGAUAGUCCCGUAGUUGACGACGUGUGUUCAGUGAAAUCGAGUAGGGCGGGACACGUGAUAUCCUGUCUGAAUAUGGGGGGACCAUCCUCCAAGGCUAAAUACUACUGACUGACCGAUAGUGAACCAGUACCGUGAGGGAAAGGCGAAAAGAACCCCUGUGAGGGGAGUGAAAUAGAACCUGAAACCGUGUACGUACAAGCAGUAGGAGCAGGCUUUGUCCUGUGACUGCGUACCUUUUGUAUAAUGGGUCAGCGACUUAUAUUCAGUGGCAAGGUUAACCAUCUAGGGGAGCCGUAGGGAAACCGAGUCUUAACUGGGCGUUCAGUCUCUGGAUAUAGACCCGAAACCAGGUGAUCUAGCCAUGGGCAGGUUGAAGGUUGAGUAACAUCAACUGGAGGACCGAACCGACUAAUGUUGAAAAAUUAGCGGAUGACUUGUGGCUAGGGGUGAAAGGCCAAUCAAACCUGGAGAUAGCUGGUUCUCCCCGAAAGCUAUUUAGGUAGCGCCUCGGACGAAUACUACUGGGGGUAGAGCACUGUUAAGGCUAGGGGGUCAUCCCGACUUACCAACCCUUUGCAAACUCCGAAUACCAGUAAGUACUAUCCGGGAGACACACGGCGGGUGCUAACGUCCGUCGUGGAGAGGGAAACAACCCAGACCGCCAGCUAAGGUCCCAAAUUACUACUAAGUGGGAAACGAUGUGGGAAGGCUCAGACAGCCAGGAUGUUGGCUUAGAAGCAGCCAUCAUUUAAAGAAAGCGUAAUAGCUCACUGGUCGAGUCGGCCUGCGCGGAAGAUGUAACGGGGCUAAGUAGUAAACCGAAGCUGCGGCAAUGUGCUUUUGCACAUUGGGUAGGGGAGCGUUCUGUAAGCGGUUGAAGGUGUGUGGUAACGCAUGCUGGACGUAUCAGAAGUGCGAAUGCUGACAUGAGUAACGAUAAAGGGGGUGAAAAACCUCCUCGCCGGAAGACCAAGGGUUCCUGUCCAACGUUAAUCGGGGCAGGGUAAGUCGACCCCUAAGGCGAGGCCGAAAGGCGUAGUCGAUGGGAAACGGGUUAAUAUUCCCGUACUUCUUACAAUUGCGAUGGGGGGACGGAGAAGGCUAGGUGGGCCUGGCGACGGUUGUCCAGGUUCAAGUGCGUAGGCUUAAGAGUUAGGUAAAUCCGGCUCUUUUUAAGGCUGAGACACGACGUCGAGCACCUACGGGUGUGAAGUCAUUGAUGCCAUGCUUCCAGGAAAAGCC
RNAcentral lists this ribosomal RNA (1569 nucleotides) under Vibrio parahaemolyticus. RNAcentral describes it as "bacterial LSU rRNA". It matches the Rfam family "Bacterial large subunit ribosomal RNA", at positions 1 to 1619 of the family's 2925-position model. The record is from RNAcentral. Lineage: Bacteria; Pseudomonadati; Pseudomonadota; Gammaproteobacteria; Vibrionales; Vibrionaceae.